RNAcentral lists this ribosomal RNA (561 nucleotides) under Ducetia japonica. RNAcentral's name for it is "SSU rRNA". It matches the Rfam family "Eukaryotic small subunit ribosomal RNA", at positions 720 to 1163 of the family's 1831-position model. The record is from RNAcentral. Lineage: Eukaryota; Metazoa; Arthropoda; Insecta; Orthoptera; Tettigoniidae.
AUGAUUCGUGGGACGUCCUGCCGGUGGUGGCGAGUCGAAGGCGUGCAGCCUUAGUGGUUUCCACUUUGGGUCUUGUGCGCCGGAGGCGGACCCCGAUGAAAUCCUACCGCGGUGCUCUUUGCCGAGUGUCGAGGUGGGCCGGCACGUUUACUUUGAACAAAUUAGAGUGCUUAAAGCAGGCCUGUUGCGCCUGAAUACUGUGUGCAUGGAAUAAUGGAAUAGGACCUCGGUUCUAUUUUGUUGGUUUCGGAACCCGAGGUAAUGAUUAAUAGGGACAGGCGGGGGCAUUCGUAUUGCGACGUUAGAGGUGAAAUUCUUGGAUCGUCGCAAGACGGACCGAAGCGAAAGCAUUUGCCAAGUAUGUUUUCAUUAAUCAAGAACGAAAGUUAGAGGUUCGAAGGCGAUCAGAUACCGCCCUAGUUCUAACCAUAAACGAUGCCAGCUAGCGAUCCGCCGAAGUUCCUCCGAUGACUCGGCGGGCAGCUCCCGGGAAACCAAAGCUUUUGGGGUUCCGGGGGAAGUAUGGUUGCAAAGCUGAAACUUAAAGGAAUUGACGGAAGG